CGAAAGCCUGACGGAGCAACGCCGCGUGUGGGAAGAAGGCUCUUGGGCUGUCAACCUCUUUUCUCAGGGAAGAAGACCUGACGGUACCUGAGGAAUCAGCCUCGGCUAACUCCGUGCCAGCAGCCGCGGUAAUACGGAGGAGGCAAGCGUUAUCCGGAAUUACUGGGCGUAAAGCGUCCGUAGGGGGCUCGUCAAGUCUGCUGUCAAAGCUCGGAGCUCAACUCCGACCCGGCAGUGGAAACUGGGGAGCUAGAGGGCGGCAGGGGCAGAAGGAAUUCCCGGUGUAGCGGUGAAAUGCGUAGAUAUCGGGAAGAACACCAGAGGCGAAAGCGCUCUACUGGGUCGCGCCUGACCCUCAGGGACGAAAGCUAGGGGAGCG
This 379-nucleotide ribosomal RNA is filed under the name uncultured cyanobacterium. RNAcentral describes it as "bacterial SSU rRNA". It matches the Rfam family "Bacterial small subunit ribosomal RNA", at positions 376 to 770 of the family's 1533-position model. The record is from RNAcentral. Lineage: Bacteria; Bacillati; Cyanobacteriota.